UGGGGAGUCGUCUAAUGGUAGGACAACAGAUUUUGGUUCUGUCGGUUGGGGUUCGAGUCCCUGCUCCCCAG
This 71-nucleotide transfer RNA is filed under the name Anaerolineales bacterium HSG6. RNAcentral describes it as "tRNA-Gln". It matches the Rfam family "tRNA". Rfam says of the family: Transfer RNA (tRNA) molecules are approximately 80 nucleotides in length. Their secondary structure includes four short double-helical elements and three loops (D, anti-codon, and T loops). Further hydrogen bonds mediate the characteristic L-shaped molecular structure. tRNAs have two regions of fundamental functional importance: the anti-codon, which is responsible for specific mRNA codon recognition, and the 3' end, to which the tRNAs corresponding amino acid is attached (by aminoacyl-tRNA synthetases). tRNAs cope with the degeneracy of the genetic code in two manners: having more than one tRNA (with a specific anti-codon) for a particular amino acid; and 'wobble' base-pairing, i.e. permitting non-standard base-pairing at the 3rd anti-codon position. Lineage: Bacteria; Bacillati; Chloroflexota; Anaerolineae; Anaerolineales. RNAcentral also lists the same sequence under 3 other names. The record is from RNAcentral.